AUACUACGUGGGAUUUCCCUCAAAAGAUAACAUGGAGUUCAUUGAGACACGCCAAUGACAUCAGCCUAUAUGAUUUCCAUCAACUGCAGUAAAGAUUGUGCUAUAAAUUGUUGCUGACUUUUGUGAAAUUUGACAAAAAUAAAUGGACAUGUCAAUGGUGUUGGAGCUGACAAAGGAAAAUCUUUAUUUGGCAAAUAAUGGACAAAUGGUGACAUUAAGUGUAGCUAAAACAUCUUAUGUGCCAAUGUUAUUCAUUCAACACAAUUAUUAAAACUGGGUCUAAAAAAAAUGACUAAAUUGCUUUGUCAAUGAAGCCAAAAUCAUUUUGGAGUAAUUUGCAUCAUCAAAUUUAUCCAUGGGAAAAGCAUUAGUCUUAUGUACGUGAAUUAAAAUAUACGAAAGCUUCAAUGAUUGAUGCAGAUAAUAAAAAGAGUUGACUAUUUAAAAUAAUCGAGACAACUGAGAUUGUGUUAAUGCUAAAAUAUGACAUGCAAAUACCAAGUAAAUCGUGUUAAUGUUAAAAGUUUUAUAAGGUACGUUGACAUUAGUUAGUGUUACCAAGUGCUUAAAAAAUUGAGUAAAUUGUUUAUGAACUAUUCUAUAAUUCAAUGAUCAUGAAAUACUGGUACAUUUAUACCAUCAUCAAAAUGCACCAAGACCAUCCAAAUGACAUGCAUUCAUGCUUGAACAAUGAUGAAUCCUCAAUAAUGAAAAGUUACUGUCUCAAUAAGUCAUGAACUAUCUGAUAAAAUAUUAUUAGCAAACUUUAUCUUUGUUUUACUACAAAAUUCAAUAACAUCAUAUUUAUGCUCUUGCUAAUGUACCACUAAUUGUUGCUAUUGGUAAACAUUUUGUACCACUUGAUGCUGAGCUAAAUCUACUUUCAACGAAAAUAAUUUGGUAGGUCGGUUGUUGUUGUUGUUGUUGCUCAUCGAUCAACACGUGUUAGUGCUUGGAGAAUCGGCCGCCUCUGCCCGAAAGAAUGUAACAAGCAUUCUCACGCUUGCUCACAAAGCCAUAUGUUAAGUGUUAACAACAACUGACUCGAGAGAUCUCUUUUUUUUCGAGCCUGAUAGACUAUUUCCAAAUAAUAACAAUAAUAAAAUAUUCAUUUAAAAAGUGUUAAAUAGAAGGAAAAAAAAAGAACUGAUUCGUAAACUAUAUAGGUCAAUAAUAUUUUGGUUUUUUUCGGUAACAAGUGGUGUAAUAUUCAUGAUGGUGAAAAGUGUUUAAAAAAAUAAGUGAAAAGUGGUGAUUAUUGUUUUGUGUGUGUAGUGCUUGUUUUGUGUGUGUGAUCAUUGAUCAAUAACCAUUGAACCUGUUGCUGAUCAGAUUGAAUCAUCACAUGAACUACAUGGAGUGCAGUAUCCUGAGCAAUUUGAUGACCAGUGUGGGAAGAUGAACAUCCGCUAAAAAGGUAGGAUUUUAUUUAAUUUAUUGCAUUGAUAUAAUUGCGUAUGGUCUUGAUUGUAAUUUGUAACUCUCCAUGAUAGUCCCCAAUAUAUUCUCUAGGUCAUCUUGCUUUAACAGCUAGCUUUAAAUUUGAUACCUAAGCUACUGUUUAGAUCACACACUUAUCGUUAUCGUUAUCAUGUACACCAAGGUACAUCAUAUAUCAGUGUGUAUAUAUAGAAACCCC
This 1639-nucleotide long non-coding RNA is filed under the name Aphidius gifuensis. RNAcentral describes it as "uncharacterized LOC122852368". Lineage: Eukaryota; Metazoa; Arthropoda; Insecta; Hymenoptera; Braconidae. The record is from RNAcentral.